UAGCUGCCUAGUGAAGGGC
Molecule: microRNA, 19 nt
Filed under: Aedes aegypti (yellow fever mosquito)
Lineage: Eukaryota; Metazoa; Arthropoda; Insecta; Diptera; Culicidae
Also listed under: 2 other names
Description: aae-miR-980-3p
Gene: aae-miR-980-3p
Source: miRBase by way of RNAcentral